Molecule: ribosomal RNA, 253 nt
Filed under: uncultured prokaryote
Description: partial 16S ribosomal RNA
Rfam family: Bacterial small subunit ribosomal RNA
Source: RNAcentral
AACGUAGGACACAAGCGUUAUCCGGAAUUACUGGGCGUAAAGGGCGUGCAGGCGGUUGCGUAAGUUAGGCGUGAAAGACUUCGGCUAAACCGGGGGAGGUCGUCUGAUACUGCGUAACUAGAGUGUGGUAGAGGCGUGUAGAAUUCCGGGUGUAGUGGUGAAAUGCGUAGAGAUCCGGAGGAAUGCCAGUGGCGAAGGCGGCACGCUGGGCCAUAACUGACGCUAAACCGCGAAAGCAUGGGUAGCGAACGGG